Molecule: ribosomal RNA, 632 nt
Filed under: uncultured bacterium
Lineage: Bacteria
Description: bacterial SSU rRNA
Rfam family: Bacterial small subunit ribosomal RNA (bases 1-536)
Source: RNAcentral
CCUACGGGAGGCAGCAGUAAGGAAUAUUGGACAAUGGUCGCAAGACUGAUCCAGCCAUGCCGCGUGCAGGAUGACUGCCCUAUGGGUUGUAAACUGCUUUUGUACGGGAAUAAACCCUUCUACGUGUAGAAGGCUGAAUGUACCGUAAGAAUAAGGAUCGGCUAACUUCGUGCCAGCAGCCGCGGUAAGACGAAGGAUCCAAGCGUUAUCCGGAUUUAUUGGGUUUAAAGGGUGCGUAGGCGGAUUGAUAAGUCAGUGGUGAAAGCCUGUUGCUUAACAACAGAACUGCCAUUGAUACUGUCAAUCUUGAAUAUGUUUGAUGUGGGCGGAAUAUGACAUGUAGCGGUGAAAUGCUUAGAUAUGUCAUAGAACACCGAUUGCGAAGGCAGCUCACAAAGCCAUUAUUGACGCUGAGGCACGAAAGCGUGGGGAUCAAACAGGAUUAGAUACCCUGGUAGUCCACGCUGUAAACUUUGAUCACUCGCUGUUGGCGAUACACUGUCNGCGCGAGACGAAGACGUUAAGUAGAGUCCACCGUGGGUAGGUACGAGUCGCGAGAGUUAGUAACGUUACGAAAGAAGUUAGGACGGCGUUGGAGACGNGCCGACGGACGACGACGACGGGAGGUUAGG